UCGAGAAUUUUUGACAAUGGGGGAAACCCUGAUCGAGCGACGCCGCGUGGAGGAUGAAGGUCUUCGGAUUGUAAACUCCUGUCAUUUGGGAACAAUGCGCAGAUAUUAACUGUAUUUGCGUUGAUAGUACCAGAAGAGGAAGAGACGGCUAACUCUGUGCCAGCAGCCGCGGUAAUACAGAGGUCUCAAGCGUUGUUCGGAUUCAUUGGGCGUAAAGGGUGCGUAGGCGGCGCGGUAAGUCGGGUGUGAAAUCUCGGGGCUUAACUCCGAAACUGCAUUCGAUACUGCCGUGCUUGAGGACUGGAGAGGAGACUGGAAUUUACGGUGUAGCGGUGAAAUGCGUAGAUAUCGUAAGGAAGACCAGUGGCGAAGGCGGGUCUCUGGACAGUUCCUGACGCUGAGGCACGAAGGCCAGGGGAGCAAACGGGAUUAGAUACCCCGGUAGUCC
This 448-nucleotide ribosomal RNA is filed under the name uncultured bacterium. RNAcentral describes it as "bacterial SSU rRNA". It matches the Rfam family "Bacterial small subunit ribosomal RNA", at positions 355 to 796 of the family's 1533-position model. The record is from RNAcentral.